This 229-nucleotide ribosomal RNA is filed under the name uncultured bacterium. Its description in RNAcentral is "partial 16S ribosomal RNA". It matches the Rfam family "Bacterial small subunit ribosomal RNA", at positions 568 to 796 of the family's 1533-position model. The record is from RNAcentral.
CGUGUAGGCGGUCAUGGAAGUCUGGUGUGAAAUAUCUCGGCUUAACCGAGGGAACGCGCUGGAAACUCCAUGACUUGAGUAUUGGAGGGGGAGCUGGAAUUCCUGGUGUAGGGGUGAAAUCUGUAGAGAUCAGGAAGAACACCGGAGGCGAAGGCGAGCUCCUGGCCAUAUACUGACGCUGAGGCGCGAAAGCGUGGGGAGCGAACAGGAUUAGAUACCCUGGUAGUCC